ACAAUGAAGAGUUUGAUCCUGGCUCAGGAUGAACGCUAGCUACAGGCUUAACACAUGCAAGUCGAGGGGCAGCAUGGUCUUAGCUUGCUAAGGCCGAUGGCGACCGGCGCACGGGUGAGUAACACGUAUCCAACCUGCCGUCUACUCUUGGACAGCCUUCUGAAAGGAAGAUUAAUACAAGAUGGCAUCAUGAGUCCGCAUGUUCACAUGAUUAAAGGUAUUCCGGUAGACGAUGGGGAUGCGUUCCAUUAGAUAGUAGGCGGGGUAACGGCCCACCUAGUCUUCGAUGGAUAGGGGUUCUGAGAGGAAGGUCCCCCACAUUGGAACUGAGACACGGUCCAAACUCCUACGGGAGGCAGCAGUGAGGAAUAUUGGUCAAUGGGCGAGAGCCUGAACCAGCCAAGUAGCGUGAAGGAUGACUGCCCUAUGGGUUGUAAACUUCUUUUAUAAAGGAAUAAAGUCGGGUAUGGAUACCCGUUUGCAUGUACUUUAUGAAUAAGGAUCGGCUAACUCCGUGCCAGCAGCCGCGGUAAUACGGAGGAUCCGAGCGUUAUCCGGAUUUAUUGGGUUUAAAGGGAGCGUAGAUGGAUGUUUAAGUCAGUUGUGAAAGUUUGCGGCUCAACCGUAAAAUUGCAGUUGAUACUGGAUAUCUUGAGUGCAGUUGAGGCAGGCGGAAUUCGUGGUGUAGCGGUGAAAUGCUUAGAUAUCACGAAGAACUCCGAUUGCGAAGGCAGCCUGCUAAGCUGCAACUGACAUUGAGGCUCGAAAGUGUGGGUAUCAAACAGGAUUAGAUACCCUGGUAGUCCACACGGUAAACGAUGAAUACUCGCUGUUUGCGAUAUACAGCAAGCGGCCAAGCGAAAGCGUUAAGUAUUCCACCUGGGGAGUACGCCGGCAACGGUGAAACUCAAAGGAAUUGACGGGGGCCCGCACAAGCGGAGGAACAUGUGGUUUAAUUCGAUGAUACGCGAGGAACCUUACCCGGGCUUAAAUUGCAGAUGAAUUACGGUGAAAGCCGUAAGCCGCAAGGCAUCUGUGAAGGUGCUGCAUGGUUGUCGUCAGCUCGUGCCGUGAGGUGUCGGCUUAAGUGCCAUAACGAGCGCAACCCUUGUUGUCAGUUACUAACAGGUUCCGCUGAGGACUCUGACAAGACUGCCAUCGUAAGAUGUGAGGAAGGUGGGGAUGACGUCAAAUCAGCACGGCCCUUACGUCCGGGGCUACACACGUGUUACAAUGGGGGGUACAGAGGGCCGCUACCACGCGAGUGGAUGCCAAUCCCCAAAACCUCUCUCAGUUCGGACUGGAGUCUGCAACCCGACUCCACGAAGCUGGAUUCGCUAGUAAUCGCGCAUCAGCCACGGCGCGGUGAAUACGUUCCCGGGCCUUGUACACACCGCCCGUCAAGCCAUGGGAGCCGGGGGUACCUGAAGUGCGUAACCGCGAGGAGCGCCCUAGGGUAAAACUGGUGACUGGGGCUAAGUCGUAACAAGGUAGCCGUACCGGAAGGUGCGGCUGGAACACCUCCUUU
RNAcentral lists this ribosomal RNA (1528 nucleotides) under Phocaeicola vulgatus. RNAcentral describes it as "bacterial SSU rRNA". It matches the Rfam family "Bacterial small subunit ribosomal RNA". Lineage: Bacteria; Pseudomonadati; Bacteroidota; Bacteroidia; Bacteroidales; Bacteroidaceae. The record is from RNAcentral.